GAUGAACGCUGGCGGCGUGCCUAAUACAUGCAAGUCGAGCGAACAGACGAGGAGCUUGCUCCUCCGACGUUAGCGGCGGACGGGUGAGUAACACGUGGAUAACCUACCUAUAAGACUGGGAUAACUUCGGGAAACCGGAGCUAAUACCGGAUAAUAUAUUGAACCGCAUGGUUCAAUAGUGAAAGACGGUUUUGCUGUCACUUAUAGAUGGAUCCGCGCCGCAUUAGCUAGUUGGUAAGGUAACGGCUUACCAAGGCGACGAUGCGUAGCCGACCUGAGAGGAGGAUCGGCCACACCGGAACGGAGACGCGGUCCAGACUCCGACGGGAGGCAGCAGUAGGGAAUCUUCCGCAAUGGGCGAAAGCCUGACGGAGCAACGGCGCGUGAGUGAUGAAGGUCUUCGGAUCGUAAAACUCUGUUAUUAGGGAAGAACAAAUGUGGAAGUAACUAUGCACGUCUUGGCGGUACCUAAUCAGAAAGCCACGGCUAACUACGUG
This 497-nucleotide ribosomal RNA is filed under the name uncultured bacterium. RNAcentral's name for it is "partial 16S ribosomal RNA". It matches the Rfam family "Bacterial small subunit ribosomal RNA", at positions 28 to 507 of the family's 1533-position model. The record is from RNAcentral.